RNAcentral lists this long non-coding RNA (7981 nucleotides) under Triticum aestivum (bread wheat). Its description in RNAcentral is "long non-coding RNA (TAES_LNC023427)". The record is from RNAcentral. Lineage: Eukaryota; Viridiplantae; Streptophyta; Magnoliopsida; Poales; Poaceae.
UACGUUACUUGCCCGAGACUCGAUCGUCGGUGUCCCAAUACCUUGUUCAGUCUCGUUACCGGCAAGUCACUUUACUCGUACCGUAAUGCAUGAUCCCGUGACCAACACCUUGGUCACAUUGAGCUCAUUAUGAUGAUGCAUUACCGAGUGGGCCCAGAGAUACCUCUCUGUCAUACGAAGUGACAAAUCCCAGUCUCGAUCCGUGUCAACCCAACAGAUACUUUCGGAGAUACCUGUAAUGCACCUUUAUAGUCACCCAGUUACGUUGUGACGUUUGAUACACCCAAGGCACUCCUACGGUAUCCGGGAGUUACACGAUCUCAUGGUCGAAGGAAGAGAUACUUGACAUUGGCAAAGCUCUAGCAAACGAACUACACGAUCUUUGUGCUAUGCUUAGGAUUGGGUCUUGUCCAUCACAUCAUUCUCCUAAUGAUGUGAUCCCGUUAUCAACGACAUCCAAUGUCCAUAGUCAGGAAACCAUGACCAUCUGUUGAUCACAACGAGCUAGUCAACUAGAGGCUCACUAGGGACAUAUUGUGGUCUAUGUGUUCACACGUGUAUUAUGAUUUCCGGAUAAUACAGUUAUAGCAUGAACAAAAGACAAUUAUCAUGAACAAUGAAAUAUAAUAAUACUUUUAUUAUUGCCUCUAGGGCAUAUUUCCAACAGUCUCCCACUUGCACUAGAGUCACUAAUCUAGUUACAUUGUGAUGAAUCGAACACCCAUAGAGUUCUGGUGUUGAUCAUGUUUUGCACGCGAGAGAGGUUUAGUCAACGGAUCUGCGACAUUCAGAUCCGUGUGCACUUUGCAAAUCUCUAUGUCUCCAUCUUGAACAUUUUCAUGGAUGGAGUUGAAACGACGCUUGAUGUGCCUGGUCUUCUUGUGAAACCUGGGCUCCUUGGCAAGCGCAAUAGCUCCAGUGUUGUCACAGAAGAGUUUGAUCGGCCCCGAUGCAUUGGGUAUGACUCCUAGGUCGGUGAUGAACUCCUUCACCCAAAUCGCUUCAUGCGCUGCCUCCGAGGCUGCCAUGUACUCCGCUUCACAUGUAGAUCCUGCCACGACGCUCUGCUUGCAGCUGCACCAGCUUACCGCUCCACCAUUCAACAUAUACACGUAUCCGGUUUGUGACUUGGAGUCAUCCGGAUCCGAGUCGAAGCUAGCGUCGACGUAACCCUUUACGACGAGCUCUUCGUCUCCUCCAUAAAGGAGAAACAUGUCCUUUGUCCUUUUCAGGUACUUCAGGAUAUUCUUGACCGCUGUCCAGUGAUCCUUGCCGGGAUUACUUUGGUAUCUUGCUACCAAACUUACGGCAAGGUUUACAUCAGGUCUGGUACACAGCAUGGCAUACAUAAUAGAUCCUAUGGCUGAAGCAUAGGGGAUGACACUCAUCUCUUCUUUAUCUUUUGCCGUGGUCGGUGACUGAGCUGAGCUCAAUCUCACACCUUGUAACAUGGGCAAGAACCCUUUCUUGGACUGAUCCAUUUUGAACCUCUUCAAAAUUUUAUCAAGGUAUGUGCUUUGUGAAAGACCUAUGAGGCGUCUCGAUCUAUCUCUAUAGAUUUUGAUGCCUAAUAUAUAAGCAGCUUCUCCAAGGUCCUUCAUUGAAAAACACUUAUUCAAGUAGGACUUAAUGCUGUCCAGAAGUUUUGUAUCAUUUCCCAUCAAGAGUAUGUCAUCUACAUAUAAUAGGAGAAAUGCUACAGAGCUCCCACUCACUUUCUUGUAAACGCAGGCUUCUCCAUAAGUCUGCAUAAACCCAAACACUUUGAUCAUCUCAUCAAAGCGAAUGUUCCAACUCCGAGAUGCUUGCACCAGUCCAUAAAUGGAUCGCUGGAGCUUGCAUACUUUGUUAGCGUUCUGAGGAUCGACAAAACCUUCCGGCUGCAUCAUAUACAGCUCUUCCUUAAGAUAUCCGUUAAGGAAUGCCGUUUUGACGUCCAUCUACCAUAUCUCAUAAUCAUAGUAUGCGGCAAUUGCUAACAUGAUUCAGACGGACUUCAGCUUCGCUACGGGAGAGAAUGUCUCGUCGUAGUCAAUCCCUUGAACUUGUCGAUAACCCUUAGCGACAAGUCGAGCUUUAUAGAUGGUAACAUUUCCAUCCGCGUCCGUCUUCUUCUUAAAAAUCCAUUUGUUUUCUAUCGCUCGCCGAUCAUCGGGCAAGUCUGUCAAAGUCCAUACUUUGUUUUCAUACAUGGAUUCUAUCUCGGAUUUCAUGGCUUCAAGCCAUUUGUUGGAAUCUGGGCCCGCCAUCGCUUCUUCAUAGUUCGAAGGUUCACCGUUGUCUAACAACAUGAUUUCCAGGACAGGGUUGCCGUACCACUCUGGUGCGGAACGUGUCCUUGUGGACCUACGAAGUUCAGUAGCAACUUGAUCCGAAGUACCUUGAUCAUCAUCAUUGGUUUCCUCCUCAGUUGGUGUGGGCAUCACAGGAACAUUUUCCUGAGCUGCACCACCUUUCCGUUCGAGAGGUAGUACUUCAUCGAGUUCUACUUUCCUCCCACUUACUUAUUUCGAGAGAAACUCUUUUUCCAGAAAGCAUCCGUUCUUGGCAACAAAGAUCUUGCCUUCGGAUCUUAAGUAGAAGGUAUACCCAACAGUUUCCUUAGGGUAUCCUAUGAAUACGCAUUUUUCUGACUUGGGUUCGAGCUUUUCAGGUUGAAGUUUCUUGACAUAAGCAUCGCAUCCCCAAACUUUUAGAAACGACAGCUUAGGUUUCUUCCCAAACCAUAAUUCAUACGGUGUCGUCUCAACGGAUUUAGACGGUGCCCUACUUAAAGUGAAUGUAGCUGUCUCUAGAGCGUAUCCCCAAAAUGAUAGCGGUAAAUCGGUAAGAGACAUCAUAGACCGCACCAUAUCCAAUAGAGUGCGAUUACGACGUUCGGACACACCGUUUCGCUGAGGUGUUCCAGGCGGCGUGAGUUGUGAAACGAUUCCACAUUUCUUUAAGUGUGUACCAAAUUCGUGACUUAAGUAUUCUCCUCCACGAUCUGAUCGCAGGAACUUUAUCUUUCGGUCACGUUGAUUCUCCACCUCAUUCUGAAAUUCCUUGAACUUUUCAAAGGUCUCAGACUUGUGUUUCAUUAAGUAGACAUACCCAUAUCUACUCAAGUCAUCAGUGAGAGUGAGAACAUAACGAUAUCCUCCGCGAGCCUCAACGCUCAUUGGACCGCACACAUCGGUAUGUAUGAUUUCCAACAAGUUGGUUGCUCGCUCCAUUGUUCCGGAGAACGGAGUCUUGGUAAUUUUGCUUAAGAGGCAUGGUUCUCAUGUGUCAAACGAUUCAUAAUCAAGAGACUCUAAAAGUCCAUCAGCAUGGAGCUUCUUCAUGCGCUUGACACCAAUGUGACCAAGGCGGCAGUGCCACAAGUAUGUGGGACUAUCGUUAUCAACUUUACAUCUUUUGGUAUCCACACUAUGAACAUGUGUAAUAUUACGCUCGAGAUUCAUUAAGAAUAAACCAUUGACCAUCGGAGCAUGACCAUAAAACAUAUCUCUCAUAUAAAUCGAACAACCAUUAUUCUCAGACUAAAAUGAGUAGCCAUCUCGUAUUAAACGAGAUCCAGAUACAAUGUUCAUGCUCAAACUUGGCACUAAAUAACAAUUAUUAAGGUUCAAAACUAAUCCCGUGGGUAAAUGUAGAGGCAGCGUGCCGACGGCGAUCACAUCGACUCUGGAACCAUUCCCGACGCGCAUCGUUACCUCAUCCUUCGCCAGUCUCCGUUUAUUCCGCAGCUCCUGCUGUGAGUUACAAAUAUGAGCAACGACACUGGUAUCAAAUACCCAGGAGUUACUACGAGUACUGGUAAGGUACACAUCAAUUACAUGUAUAUCAAAUAUACCUUUGGUGUUGCCGGCCUUCUUAUCCGCUAAGUAUUUGGGGUAGUUCCGCUUCCAGUGACCCUUCCCCUUGCAAUAAAAGCACUCAGUGUCAGGCUUGGGUCCAUUCUUUGACUUCUUCCCGGCAACUGGCUUACCGGGCGCGGCAACAUCUUUGCCGUCCUUCUUGAAGUUCUUCUUCCCCUUGCCCUUCUUAAACUUAGUGGUCUUAUUGACCAUCAACACUUGAUGUUCUUUCUUGAUUUCAGCCUCUGCUGACUUCAGCAUUGAGUACACUUCAGGAAUGGUCUUCACCAUCCCUUGCAUGUUGUAGUUCAUCACAAAGCUCUUGUAGCUUGGUGGAAGCGACUGGAGGAUUCUGUCAAUGACCGCCUCAUCUGGGAGGUUAAUGUUCAGCUGGGUCAUACGGUUGUGCAACCCAGACAUCUUCAGGAUGUGCUCACUGACAGAACUAUUUUCCUCCAUCUUACAACUGUAGAACUUGUCGGAGACAUCAUAUCUCUCGACCCGGACAAGAGCUUGGAAAACUAGUUUCAACUCUUCGAACAUCUCAUAUGCUCCGUGAUGCUCAAAACGCUUUUGGAGCCCCGGUUCUAAGCUGUAAAGCAUGCCGCACUGAACGAGGGAGCAAUCAUCAGAACGAGUCUGCCAAACGUUCAAAUCGUCUUGCAGUGCUGGGAGAAUAGGUGGGUCACCUAACGGUGCUUCUAGGACAUACUGUUUCUUGGCAGCUAUGAGGAUGAUCCUCAGGUUCCGGACCCAGUCCGUAUAGUUGCUGCCAUCAUCUUUCAGCUUGGUUUUCUCUAGGAACGCGUUGAAGUUCAUGUUGACAUUAGCGUUGGCCAUUGAUCUACAAGACAUAUUUGCAAAGGUUUUUAGACUAAGUUCAUGAUAAUAAAGUUCUAAUCAAAAUUAUGAACUCCCACUUAGAUUAGACAUCCCUCUAGUCAGCUAAGUGUCACACAAUCCGAGUCGACUAGCCCGUGUCCGAUCAUCACGUGAGACGGACUAGUCAUCGUCGGUGAACAUCUUCAUGUUGAUCGUAUCUUCCAUACGACUCGUGUUCGACCUUUCGGUCUCCGUGUUCCGAGGCCAUGUCUGCACAUGCUAGGCUCGUCAAGUUAACCCUAAGUGUUUUCGCUGUGUAAAACUGUCUUACACCCGUUGUAUGUGAACGUAAGAAUCCAUCACACCCGAUCAUCACGUGGUGCUUAGAAGCGACGAACUGUAGCAACGGUGCACAGUUAGGGGAGAACACUUCUUGAUAUUUUGUAAGGGAUCAUCUUAUUUACUACCGUCGCCCUAAGUAAACAAGAUGCAUAAACAUAAUAAACAUCACAUGCAAUUAUAUAGUUGUGACAUGAUAUGGCCAAUAUCAUAUAGCUCCAUUGAUCUCCAUCUUCGGGGCUCCAUGAUCAUCUUGUCACCGGCUUGACACCAUGAUCUCCAUCAUCGUGUCUUCAUGAAGUUGUCACGCCAACGACUACUUCUACUUCUAUGACUAACGCGUUUAGCAAUAAAGUAAAGUAGUUUACAUGGCGUUCUUCAAUGACACGCAGGUCAUACAAAAAAUAAAGACAACUCCUAUGGCUCCUGCCGGUUGUCAUACUCAUCGACAUGCAAGUCGUGAAUCCUAUUACAAGAACAUGAUUUCAUACAUCACAAUUCAUCAAUCAUCACAACUUCUGGCCAUAUCACAUCACAUGAUCAAUCGCUGCAAAAACAAGUUAGACGUCCUCUAAUUGUUGUUGCAUCUUUUACGUGGCUGCGAUUGGGUUCUAGCAAGAACGUUUUCUUACCUACGAAACACCACAACAUGAUUUUGUCAACUUCUAUUUACCCUUCAUAAGGGCCCUGUUCAUCGAAUCCGCUCCAACUAAAGUGGGAGAGACAGACACCCGCCAGCCACCUUAUGCAAUAGUGCAUGUCAAUCGGUGGAACCGGUCUCACGUAAGCGUACGUGUAAGGUUGGUCCGGGCCGCUUCAUCCCACAAUGCCGUUGAAGCAAGAAAAAGACUAGUAGAGGCAAGUAAGUUGACAAGAUCAACGCCCACAACAAAUUGUGUUCUACUCGUGCAUUAGAGAACUACGCAUAGACCUAGCUCAUGAUGCCACUGUUGGGGAACGUUGCAGAAAAUUAAAAUUUUUCCUACGGUUUCACCAAGAUCCAUCUAUGAGUUCAUCUAAGCAACGAGUCACGGGAGAGAGUUUGCAUCUACAUACCACUUGUAGAUCGCGUGCGGAAGCUUGCAAGGUGAUGAUGUAGUCGUACUCGACGUGAUUCGAAUCACCGAUGACCAAGUGCUGAACGGACAGCACCUCCGCGUUCAACACACGUACGGCACGGAUGACGUCCCCUCCGUCUUGAUCCAGCAAGGAGGAAGGAGAGGUUGAGGAAGACAGCUCCACCGGCAACACGAUGGCGUGGUGAUGGUGGAGAAACAGUACUCCGACAGGGCUUCGCCGAGCACACAACGGAGGAGGAGAGGUGUUGGGGAGGAAGAAGGAGGCAACCAAAGGCCAAGGACUCAAGGUAUGAAGUCCCUCCUCUCCCCACUAUAUAUAGGANNNNNNNNNNNNNNNNNNNNNNNNNNNNNNNNNNNNNNNNNNNNNNNNNNNNNNNNNNNNNNNNNNNNNNNNNNNNNNNNNNNNNNNNNNNNNNNNNNNNNNNNNNNNNNNNNNNNNNNNNNNNNNNNNNNNNNNNNNNNNNNNNNNNNNNNNNNNNGGGGGGGGUGGCCGGCCCUAGGAGAUCCAAUCUCCUAGGGGGGCGGCGGCCAAGGGGGGUUUCCCUCCCCCCCAAGGCACCUAGGAGGUGCCUUCCCCUCCUAGGACUCUUCCCCCUUGAACCCUAGGCGCAUGGGCCUAUGUGGGGCUGGUGCCCUUGGCCCAUGCAGGCCAAGGCGCACCCCCUACAGCCCAUGUGGCCCCCCCGGGGCAGGUGGCCCCACCCGGUGGGCCCCCGGGACCCCUCCGGUGGUCCCGGUACAAUACCGAUAACCCCGAAACUUGUCCCGAUGCCCGAAACAGGACUUCCCAUAUAUAAAUCUUUACCUCCGGACCAUUCCGGAACUCCUCGUGACGUCCGGGAUCUCAUCCGGGACUCCGAACAACAUUCAGUAGUCACAUACUAGUCUUCCUAAUAACCCUAGCGUCACCGAACCUUAAGUGUGUAGACCCUACGGGUUCGGGAGACACGCAGACAUGACCGAGACGACUCUCGGGCAAUAACCAACAGCGGGGUCUGGAUACCCAUGUUGGCUCCCACAUGCUCCUCGAUGAUUUCAUCGGUUGAACCACGAUGUCGAGGAUUCGAUCAAACCCUGUAUGCAAUUCCCUUUGUCAAUCGGUACGUUACUUGCCCGAGACUCGAUCGUCGGUAUCCCAAUACCUUGUUCAGUCUCGUUAGCGGCAAGUCACUUUACUCGUACCGUAAUGCAUGAUCCCGUGACCAACACCUUGGUCACAUUGAGCUCAUUAUGAUGAUGCAUUACCAAGUGGGCCCAGAGAUACCUCUCCGUCAUACGAAGUGACAAAUCCCAGUCUCGAUCCGUGUCAACCCAACAGAUACUUUCGGAGAUACCUGUAAUGCACCUUUAUAGUCACCCAGUUACGUUGUGACGUUUGAUACACCCAAGGCACUCCUACGGUAUCCGGGAGUUACACGAUCUCAUGGUCGAAGGAAGAGAUACUUGACAUUGGCAAAGCUCUAGCAAACGAACUACACGAUCUUUGUGCUAUGCUUAGGAUUGGGUCUUGUCCAUCACAUCAUUCUCCUAAUGAUGUGAUCCCGUUAUCAACGACAUCCAAUGUCCAUAGUCAGGAAACCAUGACCAUCUGUUGAUCACAACGAGCUAGUCAACUAGAGGCUCACUAGGGACAUAUUGUGGUCUAUGUGUUCACACGUGUAUUACGAUUUCCGGAUAAUACAGUUAUAGCAUGAACAAAAGACAAUUAUCAUGAACAAUGAAAUAUAAUAAUACUUUUAUUAUUGCCUCUAGGGCAUAUUUCCAACACUAGCGACCGCCUAAACUGAAUAUUAAGGGGGAUAGAUUGAAACACCGUUGCCACAAACACAUCACGUCGUUGAGCAAUCCGAUAUAAAGACGGAUAUUGAAUGGCUAAAGGUGAGUCGCCAAGCCAAGUAU